GCAGAAGUACUCAAGCUGGUGACGAGGCGCCCCUGCUAAGGGCGUAGGCCGGGAAACCGACGCGAGAGUUCGAAUCUCUCCUUCUGCG
Molecule: non-coding RNA, 88 nt
Organism: Clostridiales bacterium 41_21_two_genomes
Lineage: Bacteria; Bacillati; Bacillota; Clostridia; Eubacteriales
Source: Rfam